Molecule: ribosomal RNA, 376 nt
Filed under: uncultured organism
Description: partial 16S ribosomal RNA
Rfam family: Bacterial small subunit ribosomal RNA
Source: RNAcentral
GUAGGUGGCAAGCGUUAUCCGGGAAUUAUUGGGGCGUAAAGCGCGCGCAGGCGGUUUCUUAAGUCUGAUGUGAAAGCCCACGGGCUCAACCGUGGAGGGUCAUUGGAAACUGGGGAACUUGAGUGCAGAAGAGAAAAGCGGAAUUCCACGUGUAGCGGUGAAAUGCGUAGAGAUGUGGAGGAACACCAGUGGCGAAGGCGGCUUUUUGGUCUGUAACUGACGCUGAGGCGCGAAAGCGUGGGGAGCAAACAGGAUUAGAUACCCUGGUAGUCCACGCCGUAAACGAUGAGUGCUAAGUGUUAGAGGGUUUCCGCCCUUUAGUGCUGCAGCUAACGCAUUAAGCACUCCGCCUGGGGAGUACGGUCGCAAAGACUGA